This 807-nucleotide ribosomal RNA is filed under the name uncultured euryarchaeote. RNAcentral's name for it is "bacterial SSU rRNA". It matches the Rfam family "Archaeal small subunit ribosomal RNA", at positions 52 to 859 of the family's 1478-position model. Lineage: Archaea; Methanobacteriati; Methanobacteriota. The record is from RNAcentral.
UGCUAGUCGCACGAGUUCAGACUCGUGGCAGAUAGCUCAGUAACACGUGGCCAAACUACCCUGUCGAUCGGGACACCCUCGGGAAACUGAGGCUAAUCCCGGAUACGGCUCGCUGCCUGGAGUUGGCGCGAGCUCGAAACGUUCAGGCGCGACAGGAUGUGGCUGCGGCCGAUUAGGUAGACGGUGGGGUAACGGCCCACCGUGCCGAUAAUCGGUACGGGUUGUGAAAGCAAGAGCCCGGAGACGGAAUCUGAGACAAGAUUCCGGGCCCUACGGGGCGCAGCAGGCGCGAAACCUUUACACUGCACGCGAGUGCGAUAGGGGGACUCCAAGUGCGAGGGCAUACAGUCCUCGCUUUUUGCGACCGUAAGGAGGUCGCGGAAUAAGUGCUGGGCAAGACCGGUGCCAGCCGCCGCGGUAAUACCGGCAGCACGAGUGAUGACCGCUAUUAUUGGGCCUAAAGCGUCCGUAGCCGGCCAGGCAAGUCCAUCGGGAAAUCCGCACGCCUAACGUGCGGGCGUCCGGUGGAAACUGCUUGGCUUGGGACCGGAAGAUCCAGAGGGUACGUCCGGGGUAGGAGUGAAAUCCUGUAAUCCUGGACGGACCACCGGUGGCGAAAGCGCUCUGGAAAGACGGAUCCGACGGUGAGGGACGAAAGCUUGGGUCACGAACCGGAUUAGAUACCCGGGUAGUCCAAGCUGUAAACGAUGUCUGCUAGGUGUGGCACAGGCUACGAGCCUGUGCUGUGCCGUAGGGAAGCCGUGAAGCAGACCGCCUGGGAAGUACGUCUGCAAGGAUGAAACUUAA